UACUAACUUAUCGUUAAGUAAUAAAAUUUAUAAAGUUCGUAUCCGCAGGGAUUGUUUCAAUCUUGACAAAACAAUUGUAUUGUAUUUAAGACGUAAAUAAAAGGGGGGUUUUUCUUUGGUUUGAAGUUUAAUCAUAAACUAGAAAUAACUUAGGAUUUCAAGUAAUAAAAGAACAUCGAUUGAUCCUUUUGGUUCAUCUAAUUACUAUUUCUCUUGGUAAUUUCAUGUAUGAUUACAAAUUACUCAAUUCAGUUUCACGAUUAGAUUAAAUCAAAAAUGAUUAUGCCCAAUGUCUUGGUAACAUAAUCCUCUCUCUUGAUAAACGAUUCCUAAUGUCUUAGGUAAUCUAUGAUCAAUUGAGGUUUACAAACUUUAAUCUUUUAAUCUCAAUUAACAAUCCGAAAUGUCUUAAGUGAAAGUUAAUUGAUCAAUCANNNNNNNNNNNNNNNNNNNNNNNNNNNNNNNNNNNNNNNNNUUGAAAUCAUUACACAAUUGAUCAAGUCAUGCAAAGCAUUAAGCACAAGGAAUAAUUGAAGAAACUAACUUCGUAAUUCAUAUAUCAAAUCAAAUGAGAAUCACAUGAUUCAAGAGAAAUAUAAAUCAGAAUCACCUAAAGACCAAUCAUGAGAAUUUAGCUAGACAUAACGGUGACAAUAAACAACAUAGAAAAUAAAACAAAACCGGAUAACAUGAUGAUCCUGCUUGUUGCUACUGCCGUGCGUGAUGCUCUUGUUGUUGUUGUACUGUACGUGAUGUGCUUCCUCUCCUCUUCAGUGAUGCGUGAUUCCCUUUUUCUUCUUGUUGUACCUGAUCCGCUUUGCUGCGUGUUCUUUUUUUUUAGUGAUGUCCUUGAAUCCCUUUCUCAAGUGCCAACCUAAUUCCCUUUCUUCUUGGUUUUGGGUCAAGGCAAAUGGCCCAUGUUUUCUUCUUGUAAUUGGUCUAGCUUUGUCAAAGUCUUUCUCUUCUUUUACUAUUUGCACCACACUUAACCAUAAACCUAUUAAAUUGAAUCAAGAAAAUAGAAACUACACCAAAUAUUAUUUUAAUAGAGAAAAACACUUAAUUGACUCAAUAAACCAAAAUUUACAAUUUAUUUAAAAUGAUUCUAAAUUAAACACUAAACUAAUAAAAUUAUAUUAAAAACUUAAUUAAAAAGACUCUAAAAAUACGACUGAUGAGGAUUCAUCACAACCCCAAACUUAAUCUGUUGCUUGUCCUCAAGGAACAAUGCUUUCAAAAGAGUGCAACUCAACCUCAAACACCCAACCAAACAUUCAUGUUAAUCUAUCUCCGUAAUCAAUAAGAACAANNNNNNNNAAUUCAUCCAACAUUCAUCCAUCAAGCUCAAUUCUCUCUUCACACAAUCUCACCAAAAUUCUCUCAAGUGUUUAGGGACAUACACUCAAUCAACACAAUCUACACCUUUCUACCAUAUGCUUGCAAGAACUCUAAAAAUCGAUCGACAUACAAUGAAUAUGCACCUUUCGAGGACUUUUCGGGUUAUAGCGUGGCUUAGAUUUAUUGAAGGGUGGAUAUUUUUGGGAAACUAGGUAGAAAAAACUUGAAGCUUAUAAGAUCACAUAUUUCAAACAAAAGAAGACAUAUCAAUUGAUCCCCCAAAAUCAUCACAUUCAUACUAGAGAACUUAAUUAGCACAAUAUUUUUCCUCAUGCAAAUGAAUUCACAAUGUGUGAACUCAUUCCAUGCUCACAUUUUUGUUUUCACAAAGAAGUCCUCGACAAUUUUUUUUUUUUAUUCAUUUUUUUUUUUCAAACAUGGUGUUAUGCAUUUUGCAUUCUAUUUAUUUAUUUUUCAUUUCUUUCAC
This 1825-nucleotide long non-coding RNA is filed under the name Trifolium pratense (red clover). RNAcentral describes it as "long non-coding RNA (TPRA_LNC008334)". The record is from RNAcentral. Lineage: Eukaryota; Viridiplantae; Streptophyta; Magnoliopsida; Fabales; Fabaceae.